GGUAGGUAUAGAACUGUGAGGCACACUGAGGUGUGUCAUUCAAAGCCUCAAUGCUUUGAAUUGAAUCUGUAUGCCAGGGUUGAAGUUGCUUUAAGAACUACAAAACAAACUAAAGCGUCUUUGCUCUAGUGCUUUAUGGUCAAUUAUGAGUAGUCAUCUGAGAAAGUAAGAUCAGAUAGCGCCAAAUGGCUUCAUAGAAGAGACUCACGAAGCUUUGCAGCUAGAAUGAAAGAUAAAAGCCUGGCAAGAGAGUAAGCAGGAAUAAUAAGCUUCGGUGUAGAUCUAAUGACCUAACCAAGUUUACCGGAAUAUAUGAGAAACUUUGUGGAGCUUCUGGCCAGCAUGAGAACAUCAGUGUGACCAUACUGAAUUUACAUAAUUUCAGAACCAAAAAGAAACCUUUGAAGACUGUGGUUCUCAUUCCAGCCCAGGUAUUAAUAAGCUGGAAGGUCUAUGGCAUCAUUUCCUACCUGCGAGCAACUUUAGUGCCACCAGAUGUAAACAUAAAGACUUUGAACUGAAUGACACCACUGGGUCACUCAAAGUACUAAAAAGAGUUUAUUUUACCAUGAGAUUGCUUUCUAGGGCUGUAAAUCCAUCGUGAAAGCUUCAUGUAUAAUCAUAUUCUAAGAAGAACUUUUUGUAGAUAUUUUGCUAGCUCUAGAUAUCUUCAUUUAUUUCAUUAUAUUGUGGAAUAUCACACAGAAAAAUGACAAGGCCCAAAUUCUUUAAAGAACUGAGUGUAGGAGGAGAAAUUUCCUCUCUUACAAAUAGUAUAUCCUGAGCUAAUCUGCUUUCAUUUAUAAUGCUGCUCUUAAUCUCUUUGGAAAUGGCAAUCCAUGGAGUCUGGUGAGGAUCUGUUGAAAUAUUUCUAAACAUUUUUCUGCUUUUUAUAUGUAGGAGACCAUGGUUUAUGCUAUUUUUAUUUUUUCUCAAAAUAUAGGCCAUCUGCCUCAGAAUAAAUCAGUGAAGUUAAAAAAAUGCAGAUUCCUCAAAGUGUGACUGAAUCAGAUGUUUGGGAAUCUUUAUUUUUAAUAACUUAUACUAAGAAACACCAAAUAAAGUACACAAUAAUCUUUGUUUAUUGAAACUGUUUUGGUGCAUUCUAAUAAAAGCAUUAUUUUUUAUUGAAAUG
Non-coding RNA from Callithrix jacchus (white-tufted-ear marmoset), 1135 nucleotides. Lineage: Eukaryota; Metazoa; Chordata; Mammalia; Primates; Cebidae. The record is from RefSeq and is a predicted model, not a curated record.